UGCUUCCUAUCGACAUACACACUCUCAAAGACGAGUGGUCCCGUCAUUACCCGCACACCCCACUAUCAUUUUUCUUUUGCAGUAUUAUCUCUCUUAUCCCUCACGGAGGUAUUUCUCGCUCGCAUAUAAACACGCGUGCCUACCGCCCCCCUAACCCACUCCAUACACACAAACACUGCCGCACGUCCUCUGAAGCAUGUCGUCUCCCAGCAGCUUCAAGAAGCUUCAGGUCGUCUCCCUCUCCAAAGACUUCCGCAGCUCCACCUCCGUCGUUGAGGCGCAGCUGCCGGAGGAAGUGCCGGAGGGGAUGGUUCGCGUGUCUGUCAAGUACGCCGGCGUCAACGCGAGCGACUUGAACUUCACGAAUGGUUCGUACCUCAAGAACGCGCGGCCACCCUUCGACUGUGGAUUCGAGGCGGCCGGCACAGUGGUGAAGAUCGGUGCCGGUGUCGCGAACGUGAAGGAGGGUGACCCCGUCGUGCUAAUGCAGUACGGCUGUUUUGCUGAGUUCCUCGACGCACCUGCAGAGAUAUGUAUACCAGUGCCAGAGUUGAAGCCUGAGUACAUUGUGCUCCCUGUCAGCGCUCUCACGGCCGCCGUCGCGCUUGGCGAGGUGGGUCGCGUAAAGAAGGACGACGUGGCGCUGGUGACGGCGGCGGCCGGUGGCACGGGCCAGAUCGCGGUGCAGUUGCUCAAGCACGUCUACGGUUGCACGGUGAUUGGCACCUGCUCCUCCGAGGAGAAGGCCCGGUUCCUCAAGAGCAUUGGCUGCGACCACGUUAUCAACUACAAGACGGAGAGCCUUGACAGCCGCCUGCACAUGCUUUGUCCGAAAGGCGUGGAUGUCGUCUACGAGUGCGUUGGCGGCCAGACUUUCAACGAUGCCGUCCGCCACGUCGCCGUGCACGGCCGUGUUGUGAUCAUCGGCUCCAUUUCGAGCUACAAGAGCGGUGAAGCGGUGCCCUUUUCGCACCCCAGCGGCACCUCGAUGACGAUGCUGCUCCUAACCAAGUCUGCGUCCCUGAACGGUUUCUUCCUUCCGCAGUUCUACGACGUCAUCCCGAAGUACAUGGCAAGCCUGCUGCAGUACCUCAAGGCCGGCCAGGUCAAGCUCUUCGUGGACGAGAAGGUGUUUCAUGGAUUGAGCAGUGUCGCAGACGCCGUUGAUCAUCUGUACUCGGGCACGAGCUGCGGUAAAGUCUUGGUUGAAAUCCAGUAGUGCCGAAGGAGAGUGCGAGCGCUGCAUCGCAUGCGCCGGUUUUUGUAGGGGAAUUCGGCUGCCAGAGAAACGGCGGGCGGUAGAGGAAAAAGGAAACGGGCUGCCGUUAUUUCGGUGUGGAUGUGUGCGUGUCCGUACACCAAUCGGCGAGGUGAAAAAAGGCGGAACAAGCCCGUCACGGCAAUCAAAAGCGCAUAGACAGCCUGCGUCCACGCUCUCGUCGCCCCCGCAUUCCCCUCGACCGACGUCUGUGGCGUUAACGCGCGCGCACCAUGGCACUCCAGUCUAGCGCUCCCCUUCCCUCCCCUCAACCUUUUCAACGCGCCGUCUCUGCGCCUUCCCUCCUCCUUUUUGCUCACUUUCUGGCUCUUCUGGACUUGCGCUGGUCUGCGUGCGCGUUUUCGCGCAUACUGUUGUAG
This 1638-nucleotide unclassified non-coding RNA is filed under the name Leishmania donovani. RNAcentral describes it as "gene:LdHU3.36.5920(CDS-product:oxidoreductase_put ative)". The record is from RNAcentral. Lineage: Eukaryota; Euglenozoa; Kinetoplastea; Trypanosomatida; Trypanosomatidae.